AGAAAUAUAAAAUUUUAAAGAAUUUUAAACCAAUCAAAUCACGGCGGUCACUUCAUUUAAUGAAGUAGAAAAAGUCGGAGUUAUCGGUAAAAUCCCUGUAUAUUUUUAAUGGGACAAUACCGAGAGGAUGCAAAUCCUUGUAGAGACUACAAACCGACCUCUUGCAGAAUAUUAUUUUGUUAAGAGAAUGUAUAGUCCGUGCUAUUGGUAACAGUAGAUAACAUGCGUGAGACAGGUUGGUCUCCUAUCUGCUGCAGGCGUUGAUUUUUGAGAAGAUCUCUCUCUAGUACGAGAGGACCGAGAGGGACUGACCUCUGGUGUACCAGUUGUUCCGCCAGGGGCAUCGCUGGGUAGCUAUGUUCGGAAGGGAUAAGCGCUGAAAGCAUCUAAGUGCGAAGCCCAUCCCAAGAUGAGAUCUCCCACCCCUGGGUAACUGGGGGGUAAGACCGCCGGCAGACUACCGGCUUGAUAGGCAGCGUGUGUAAGCGUCGUAAGGCGUUCAGCUAAGCUGUACUAAUGGUCGAGGGUUUAACCUG
Molecule: ribosomal RNA, 536 nt
Filed under: Dehalococcoidia bacterium
Lineage: Bacteria; Bacillati; Chloroflexota; Dehalococcoidia
Description: partial 23S ribosomal RNA
Rfam family: Bacterial large subunit ribosomal RNA
Source: RNAcentral